Molecule: transfer RNA, 71 nt
Filed under: Dipodomys ordii (Ord's kangaroo rat)
Lineage: Eukaryota; Metazoa; Chordata; Mammalia; Rodentia; Heteromyidae
Rfam family: tRNA
About the family: Transfer RNA (tRNA) molecules are approximately 80 nucleotides in length.
Source: Rfam by way of RNAcentral
GGGAAGGUGGCUCAGUGGUAGAGUGCUUGCUUUGCAUGCAUGAGGCCUGGGUUCGAGUCCUUACCACCACA